Molecule: long non-coding RNA, 478 nt
Organism: Spinacia oleracea (spinach)
Lineage: Eukaryota; Viridiplantae; Streptophyta; Magnoliopsida; Caryophyllales; Amaranthaceae
Exons: 2
Source: RefSeq, a predicted model, not a curated record
UGUACUGAAGCCAACUUGUUCCUAAUUUGUUUUAAUUAAUGCAGCCUAUAUCACAACACUUCCCCACACCACAGAGGCAAAGACCUCCUGCAGCUUUCUAUUCUGAUCAUGGGGGUGAGCAAACCAUCUACUCCUUCCCUGCACAUGACUUCCCAUUGUCACAGACUCAACCAAGUCAAGGACACACAAUAUCAAGCCAAGCAUUGCAGGAUCUUGCAAUGGCUAGAAGAUUAGAAAAAAGACCAUGAGAAAAAUACCUUUUUGUUGAGAAGAGUCAGCUAUGGUGGAGCAACAGAGAAAAAACACAGAGCAGAAGAUGGAGAAGAAAGAAUUUUUUUUUUUAAGUGUUUUAUUGUUGUUUUGUUUGCCAUGGAAUGUUGAAUACUCUGUUUUUUGAGAGCCUCAACGGCUAUAUUUUUGUAAAAAGCUAACUGAAAUGAAUUUCCCUUUAUUUAAUUAUUGGUAAAUGGUAAAUGUA